RNAcentral lists this unclassified non-coding RNA (220 nucleotides) under plant metagenome. RNAcentral describes it as "partial contains small subunit ribosomal RNA, internal transcribed spacer 1, and 5.8S ribosomal RNA". The record is from RNAcentral.
UCUCCGUUGGUGAACCAGCGGAGGGAUCAUUACCGAGUUGCAAAACUCCUAAACCCUUGUGAACAUACCCGUUACAGUUGCUUCGGUUGGCAGCCCCAGGGCGGGGCCGCCGCCCCUUCUCACGAAGCGCUCGCCGGAGGCAUAUAACUCAUUGUAGUAUGGUCUCUCUGAGUAAAUUUAUAAUAAGGCAAAACUUUUAACAACGGAUCUCUUGGUUCUG